This 458-nucleotide ribosomal RNA is filed under the name uncultured bacterium. RNAcentral's name for it is "partial 16S ribosomal RNA". It matches the Rfam family "Bacterial small subunit ribosomal RNA", at positions 338 to 795 of the family's 1533-position model. The record is from RNAcentral.
CCUACGGGAGGCAGCAGUGAGGAAUAUUGGUCAAUGGGCGAGAGCCUGAACCAGCCAAGUCGCGUGAGGGAGUACUGCCCUAUGGGUUGUAAACCUCUUUUGUCGGGGAGCAAAAGCCGGACGUGUCCGGCUGUGAGAGUACCCGAAGAAAAAGCAUCGACUAACUCCGUGCCAGCAGCCGCGGUAAUACGGAGGAUGCGAGCGUUAUCCGGAUUUAUUGGGUUUAAAGGGUGCGCAGGCGGAUUUUUAAGUCAGCGGUAAAAUCGUGGGGCUCAACCCCAUCCAGCCGUUGAAACUGGGGAUCUAGAGUGUGCGAGAGGUAUGCGGAAUGCGUGGUGUAGCGGUGAAAUGCAUAGAUAUCACGCAGAACCCCGAUUGCGAAGGCAGCAUACCGGUGCACAACUGACGCUCAGGCACGAAAGCGUGGGUAUCGAACAGGAUUAGAUACCCCUGUAGUC